AGCAAGAGGAAGAAGAGCGGGAGAAGAUAAACAAUUUAUUUUACAUCUCCGCAAGGCUGUGUUCGCGGGGAGGAUCACGUCCAGCUGUGCAAACACUUUUCCACGCACCUCAAGGAUCCCAUGUGGGGGAGGAAGGAGACGCGUAGGAAAAGUUGCUGCCCUCUUGUGGCAUUAAAUCAUCCAAGUAACUCAGCUCCCGAUCGGAGAAACAAAAGUCCAGCAGUUUGCGGAUAAAUACCAAAGCCAGCACCUGCAGACGCAGAAGGGGACAGAAAAAUCAGAUUGAGUCAAAGAACGAGAGAACUCCGAGUGGUCAACUCACCAUCAUGGGGAAGACGAUAGCAGCCGGUGAGGUCUUGAUGACCCACAGCAGGACAAGACAUGUGAGCUGCGUGAGCGUGAACAGAUGAACCUUCCUCAAGGGAACGUGACGCAGGUAGAUGAAGUCUGGCUGGUGCUUGGCCGGCAUCCCAAACAACUUAAGACGGUCAAAGAACUGCAAGCAAUAUGUUCGAUAUGUCACAGACACAACAAGGUAAAGGUAUGCAGAAGACAUUUUGUCCCAUUGACACAUAAUCACCAACCACAAUAUUAGGUACACCGACACAAUCAAGUGUACAGGCGGGUCCUAUAGGAUAGUGUGUAUGGAGGCACUUUCAACAAACAAUACACAGACUUGUUCAAUAAAGAUAGUAGACUAUUUAUCCCACAAUGGAGAAAUUCUGGGAUUGCGGUGCAGAUUUUACAUACAGUAACAAAAUAAAACAUUAUUUUUUAUUUUUUCAUUUUCAUUUAUUUAUUUCUGGCAAUGACAUAAAAAAAGUACAAUGUUGACAACACAUAAUAUAAAUUAAUAUAGUGCAAAAGGUAAUGUAUAGUAUGUAAUGCAUGAUUGUCCAGUUUUGCCUGAAAGGGGGUGGGAAGAAGAUAACUUAUUUAAUCCCACCCCCAGUUCUCCAUUCAGUGAUUAUUCACAUGAGUUUCACUC
This is a long non-coding RNA of Entelurus aequoreus (snake pipefish), 988 nucleotides long. RefSeq lists it as uncharacterized. NCBI's taxonomy places the organism in Eukaryota, Metazoa, Chordata, Actinopteri, Syngnathiformes, Syngnathidae. The record is from RefSeq and is a predicted model, not a curated record. The transcript is spliced from 3 exons.